This 70-nucleotide microRNA precursor is filed under the name Nannospalax galili (Upper Galilee mountains blind mole rat). Its description in RNAcentral is "miRNA (ENSNGAG00000008594.1)". It matches the Rfam family "lin-4 microRNA precursor family", at positions 2 to 71 of the family's 80-position model. From Rfam's summary of the family: The extents of the hairpin precursors are not generally known and are estimated based on hairpin prediction. The products are thought to have regulatory roles through complementarity to mRNA. The record is from RNAcentral. Lineage: Eukaryota; Metazoa; Chordata; Mammalia; Rodentia; Spalacidae.
CCUAGUCCCUGAGACCCUAACUUGUGAGGUAUUUCAGGAACAUCACAAGUCAGGCUCUUGGGACCUAGGC